CGGGGUGGCGGAAUCGGCAGACGCAUCGGACUUAAAAUCCGAAGGGGGGUAACCCCCGUGUGGGUUCAAAUCCCACCCCCGG
RNAcentral lists this transfer RNA (82 nucleotides) under marine eukaryotic metagenome. It matches the Rfam family "tRNA". From Rfam's summary of the family: Transfer RNA (tRNA) molecules are approximately 80 nucleotides in length. The record is from RNAcentral.